Molecule: long non-coding RNA, 3144 nt
Filed under: Capsicum annuum
Lineage: Eukaryota; Viridiplantae; Streptophyta; Magnoliopsida; Solanales; Solanaceae
Description: long non-coding RNA (CANN_LNC008412)
Source: RNAcentral
CCUGUUCUAAGCUAGUUUUCAGACCUUUGAGACCCAAAAUUCGCUUCACUUGUAUUAAAUUACAACUUUGGAUUCGAGGCCUAAAUGAAUGAAUAAAUAAAUGACUAAAAUAAAUAAAUAAAAAUAAGGCAAUAAUAAAAAUCAAGACUUUUCAAGUCUCUUAAUAACCGCAUCAAAGGGUUUUGACCCAUUUUCCUUCUUCUUUCAUCAUCUUGCACCCGCAUGUCAUAUAAUCGAUUAUGAGUUCAAACUUCGGACUUGACUCUGAGAGAUAAGCCUCAUUGGCCCAUUAUGAAAUGCAAGAGGAAAGGAGUCCAUUUGAACUCCAAAACAGAUUCUUGAAGAGAAAAGGAUAAAAGAAAAAGAAUUAAUAUAUGUUCAAAAAUUUACACUUAAGAGAUAAAUGAUGAGAUGAAAAAAAUAGCAUUCUCGAGCAUAAAGAAAUAGUAAGCUAUGAUAUCAAAGUAAGCUAAAUUAUCCAACGAAAAGGAAAUUAACCCAUCUCCUAAAUAAUUUUACAAAAAAUUGAUUCUAGCACAAUAUAAUUAACUAGCCCUUGAAAAUAAGACAUGAAUCCACAAGCAUAGUUGCUUAAAAUUUGGACAAUUAGAUUAACACAUUGUCAUGCUCCUAUUUUUACCUAACGUCGAAACGUGCAUGACAUUAUGAACUCUAAAAAAAAUUAAUUUCGUACAGAGUCGCCACCUAAUUUUUAAGGAAAAAUAGGAAACCUAUUUAUUUGCUUAACAUAUAUGACUUUAUUUAAUCUACGAAAUAAGUUUGAAUUCUAGGUAAGAGUUCAAAUUAUUCCGAAGGGAAGGGGUUAGACACCCUUCAGAAUCCACAAAUGUGGUUCCCGGCCAUAUUUAGGUUUAUUAAAAGUGAGAAAAAAAUUAUUUCCUCCGUCCCAUUUUAUGUAUCAUCAUUUCCUUUUUUGUCCGUCCCAAAAAGAAUGUCACCUUUCCUUAUUUGGUAACUAUUUAAAGACACAAUUACACUUUUAUCUUUAUUGGUCUCAUUUAUAAGGGCCCACUUAAUUAAAAAUAAUAAUAGUACAUUAUUUUAAUGAAUGACAAUUUGGUAAAAAAACAUCAAGUUUUUACUUAUUUUUUAAAUUUCGUGCUCGACUAAAUGACGACACAUAAAAUGGAACACAGGGAGUAAUAUUUAUAAAUACAAACAUAAAAUAUGUAUUAAAAUAAUAUUAAUCCAUAUCGUGCUGCAAAAUAUAUAUAAACAAAAAUAUAUAAAUAUAUAUAUGUCAAGAAAAAACAAGAUUGAAUAAAGAAAAAUUGUUCUAAUGGAAAAGACUACGUAAUAUUUUUUAGUGUAAAAAAUAUAAAUUAUUUGAUUAAAUAAUCUAAGUCAAUCUAAUAUUUUUAUAUAAAUAACAGUCUAAAUUUGCCUAAGCGCGUGAUAAAGAUUGCAUAAAUAACAAAUAUCCCGCACAACAUCCGAAAAAUAAAGUUUUACACUAAGAUAAUAUUUGUACAAGUAAAAAAAAUAUGAAAGUACCAACACAUUUUAAAGUCUUCUUUAAAUGUCUUUUCCAACGAAUAUUCUCAAACACCUAAAACACUUGUAACAAAAAUGUUAGUAACAAAUAAAUAAUUAUCAAAAUAAAUUUAAAAAAUAUGUGUGCAUAUAUGUAUUUAGAAAUAUAAUUUUCAUUAAAAAGUGGACUCGGAUAAAUUUUAAAUACAUCAUAGCUACGAAGUGAUUGCUUAAUUGAUUGGUUGUCCUAAAUCGCCUUGCAAAGAUACAAACCAUAAAAUCCUUUUGCGUUGUUAUAAAAAAUUUCGUCAUCACCUAAAAUAUUUAUUUUUAUUAUAUAUUUAUAUAUGUAACAUUCGUCUUUCUAUAAAUUAUUUAUAGAGGCCUCGAAAAUCGACGGAUAGAUAAUAUCAUUGACCGAUUAUUAAUAUUUUAUUCAAUUCAAUUUAACAAACUUAAAAAAAAAAAUAAAGUCAAAAAAGGAAGCCUAAAAUUUAACAGAAAGUGGCAGACAAUAAAAAUAAUAAAAACAUCUAAAUAUUGACAUAGGUUGUCGAAAAUACAGCAAAACUAAUCCUUUCACAGUGAGCAAACAGUAGCAAAAUACAGAAAUAAUCAACAAAAAGUAAACAUGAUGUUCGCCGGAAUUCAUGGAGCUUCAUCAGAACACUCUUCUUUUCGCGAAUCAGUCAAACCACAAGGAACAAAUUGUAUCCAGCAAAGUCAGGAAAACAAAAUAUACAAUGACACAUAAAUCACAAACAAAACUCAAUUAAAGGGAGUAUUUUCGACAAACCAUAACAAUAAAUGGAGAAGGAAACGGCGUAUUCACCGGAGCAACAUAAUAUUCACAAUCACAAUAAUUAACAAAAAAUAAAGCCCAAAACAAGGGGCAGUAGCGGCAUGGUGGCAACGGCACAACGGCGUUAGCUGGAACAACGCCGAAAAAUCAAAACUGACCAAAUCUGGCUCAUUUUUGUGCAACAAUAGUGAGGGAGCAACGGUGGAUUUUGAGACUUCGCCAGCCAUCGCCUCCGACGAAGAAGUAGCGGAAAGGGGCAUAAAAGAAGGGGGAAGAAGGGGCGGGGCAGGUGGAGUUAUGGAGUUCGCCGGCAGCCAGAUCCGGCGAAAUCCGGCAGGAAGAGGGGAGAAAGAGAGAGAUCGAAAGGAGGUGCGGUGGUGGCUGGACGUUGGUGGUCGAAGAUCGGCCCGCGGUUAAAUCCGGCGGUCGACACUGACUGGUUGAGGGAGAGAGCGUGGAGUGAGAGAGAGAAAAUGUGAGGGAUGGCUGAGUGUGUGAUCUGCCUGUGCAGUGUGUGUAUAUUAAAGAAAUUCUAAAGAAAGUAAAAAGUAGUAUUAAAAAUAAAAAACAAAUAAAUAAAAUAUUAAAUUUACUUUUUUUUUCAACACAUUUUUUAAAUUAUGAAUAGUAGGUAAAGAAAAAGUCAAGUGUCAUAACGAUGAUGAGACCUCAACCUAAUUAAUUUGUUCCUCUAUGUAUUAAAAUAAUUGACCUGACUCAACUUUUACGGAUUGUAAUAAAUGUACGAAAAUAUAAAUAUUGAUAUGUAAUUAUAGAAAAAAAAUAAGGAAUAUUGAAAUUAAUGUAAUUAAUUUAAAAUACUGUAAAAAUGUGACAUCAUGUCGUGC